GAUGAACGCUAGCGGCAGGCCUAACACAUGCAAGUCGAGGGAGAGGUUACCUUCGGGUAACCAAAACCGGCGCACGGGUGCGUAACGCGUAUACAAUCUGCCUUUCACAUAGGGAUAGCCCGAAGAAAUUUGGAUUAAUACCUAAUGGUAUAUAAGAGCGGCAUCGUUUUUAUAUUAAAGCUACGGUGGUGAAAGAUGAGUAUGCGUUCUAUUAGCUAGUUGGAGAGGUAACGGCUCCCCAAGGCGACGAUAGAUAGGGGUUCUGAGAGGGAUGUCCCCCACACUGGUACUGAGAUAUGGACCAGACUCCUACGGGAGGCAGCAGUGAGGAAUAUUGGACAAUGGUCGGAAGACUGAUCCAGCCAUGCCGCGUGCAGGAUGAAGGUCCUAUGGAUUGUAAACUGCUUUUGGAAGGGAAGAAUAAGGAGUACGUGUACUUUGAUGACGGUACCUUACGAAUAAGCAUCGGCUAACUCCGUG
RNAcentral lists this ribosomal RNA (480 nucleotides) under uncultured bacterium. RNAcentral describes it as "partial 16S ribosomal RNA". It matches the Rfam family "Bacterial small subunit ribosomal RNA", at positions 28 to 507 of the family's 1533-position model. The record is from RNAcentral.